CAUCAGUAUAACAAGUGAUGUUCACAGAGUGCUUCAUCAUGCAGGACAGGUUGAAGAACUUUACAAGAAUUAGCUGAUCUUCUACAACAACCCUGAGACAGAUACCACUCUUAUCUCUACUUUACAGAUGAGGACAUCUGCCCAAGGGAAAUUAAAUAACAUCUAAAGCUGCACGGGUAACUAGGUGUAGUCAGGUUUAGACCAUUGGUGUUAUGGAGCUGCAUGAUGUAGCUACUCCCAACUGCCUCUUUUGUGUGGCAUUUCUUACACAUUGCACUGUCUGGUUACUCCUCUGUUUUCUUCACAGCUGCAUCCUAGCAUGAAGUGCAAAUCCCAGCAAAAAUUAAGCUCAAUUAAUACUUUUUGUGGAAUGAAUGCCUGAAUUUUAGUUAGAGAUAUUUUAUGUCUUACAAAUUCUAAUAAUACAUUCCUGAUUCUUGAUUUAGUGAGAUCAAGUCUGAGAAAAAAAGGAUGGCCAAUUAAUUAGUGUAUUAUCUUUUGCUCCUUAAUGAUUUUUGUAUUAAUUAAUCUGAUUCAAUAUGAACAAUUUGAGCUGAAAAGAAAGUGUUGUCUAUCCAAAUCCCCACAUUUUAUAUAGUUGGAGAUUGGGGUCAGAGUAUUUAAGUGACUUAUCCAAGGUCAUACAUGAAGCCAGUGACAAACAGCAUGCCAAAAUGGCUGAUUUCCAGUCCUGUGCCCUUUAGAGAAGGACACUUGGUAUCCUGGUCAAACAGAAACUACAGUCACAUGAGGGCAUGCAGUUAAAACAAACACCAAGUCUGCAGCUGGUUUGAUUAUGAAUCUAAACAGCAUGAAGGGGCUCGUGGCUUAGGUGUUCCCUCGGACUGCAAUCAGCCUAGAGUAAACACAGGCGUCUCAUGGAGAGGCAUGUUUGGCCCAGAAAGGUCCAGACUCUGAGAAGCCUUUAAGAGUAUUUUGUAUACAGCUUGGCCUUUAUUGUUGUGUGACCUUGGGUGCAUUGCUUUCCUUCUCUGGCAUCUGGUCUCCUCCUUUAUAGUAUGACAGAGUAUUAUGGACUUAAUGUUUGUGCCCCCCCCCCCCCCAAGUUCAUAUGUUGAAGCUCUAACCCUGAAAGUGAUGGUAUUUGGAGGUGGGCCCUUUGGGAGGUAGUUGGGUUUAGAUGAGGUCAUGAAGAUGAGGCCCCGUGAUGAUUAAUGUCCUUAUAAGAGAAGGAAAUGAGACUAGAGCUCUCCCUCUCUCCACCAUGUCAGGACACAGUGAGAAGGCAGCCAUCUGUAAGCCAGGAAGAGAGCUGUCACCAGGGACUGAAUCCAGCGCAUUGAUUUUGGACUUCUAACCUUCAGAACUGUGAGAAAUAAAUGUCAUUUAAGCCAUCAGUCUAUGGUACUUUGUUAUAGCAGCCUGAGCUGAUUAAGACACAGGGUUUUAUGAGCUUGAUCUUGAAGGCUCGUUUUGACUCUACAAUUCUAACAUUCUUUUCCAAAGUCCCCUCUGUUAUUGGCUGUGUUCAUUUCUGCCACUCUGCUGUCACUCAAGCCAUUCCUCCUCACUGCUAUGUUUUCUGCAACUCCUCACCAUUAAUCAAGAUCUUCUGCGAACUUAGAGGUUGAGCACACAUUUCAGCUCACAGGUGUGAAGAAAAAGCAGGGUCAAAUCCAAAUAUUUCUCUUUACUUUCAUGCGACCUUGAACAGUUACUUAACUUCUCUAUGCCUCCAUCUGCAAAGUGGAGUUAAUAAUACUUACAGGAUAAGAGUUGUGAUGAUUAAAUGGAAUUAAACAUGUAAAGCACCCACAUAGACCGGAGUUUGGCCCAUUUUUCUGCAAAAGAUCAGAUAGUAAAUAAUUUAGGCUUGCAGGGCAUGUGGUCUCUCAGCUUUGGCUUUGUAGGGCAAAAAGGACCACAGACAAUAUGCAAACAAAUGAGUGUGGCUGUGUUCCAAUAAAACUUUAUUUAUAAAAACAGGUGGCAGGCUGGAUUUGCACCCCGCCACCUGCAGCACUGGGCUUUGCUAUUCCAGGUAGCAGAUUAGGAUUCUCAUUGCUUUUUUAAAUUUAAACACACUUUAAGCUGUUUUAUGUUAUCCUUGGCUCUCCAUGGGGCCGCUCUUUUCCUCCCUGACUCACCCUUCCUUUCCCAGAUAAAGGGUAAGGAAUAAUGCCAUAAACAUUUGUUGAAAUGAAAUGAAGAAGAGUCUCCCCUUGCUCCAGGCCUAGGGUCCAGCUUCUGAGGGCCUCCAAAUGCAGUGUGGGCCUGGUGCCAGAAGGGAAGAAAGACUUUCUCAGGAUUGAGGGUGCCUGCAGACUGGGCAGGGCUCUGCUUUAUAAAGAGAUGCUGUGCUUUGACACUAGUGAAAAGCCCCAGCUGGCACACUGGGGACGUGGCCAGCGGCAGGAGCUGCUGUGUGGGUCCACUGCAGAGGUUUCCUCAUCCUGCUAGCCACACUGCAGGCUCCGCUGAUAGGGGAACCAUUGUUCCUUGUCCGUUGUGUGGAGUGCAGGGUGUUUGGGGGUACGGGGAGUGUUGGGAGCAGCCACUCAUUUCACAGAGCUCAGCUCAAUGAAAACAGAAAGAUAAAGGGCCAGGAGAGGAGGAAGAAAGUGCCAGCCAUGCUAAUGUUCCAGCUUGGAAAUUGAAGUGACCUGCCAGGCCAGCAUUUUCAGAGCAAAGAUGACAUUUGCUGCAAGUCACUCUGGGCUUGGAAUGGGCACUGGGCUUUUAGAUGUUGCUAAUUGGAAUGCGCAGAGAUUCAGUAACCCAUCUGGCAGUUAUUCUGUUAAUCUCUGUAUCCUGGCCAGAGGCCAGGCAGGAACAAAAUCGGGUUCUCUUCUCUUAAUCCCCAGUGCAGUUUCAGCUGGGCUCGGCAGCCCCAGUCCUGCCGGAUUUGUCAGUGCUAAUCUGCUUCUCUCAAUGGCUCAGGGAAGCCCCUAGAAAUGCCACUAGCUGCCCCCGGGCCCCUUGACAUGGCCAGACACGAGGAGGGGCCAGGGAUGAGUGUGGGGUGAUGCAAGACCCAGGCUUUCAGAGUCGUUUGGGCUUGGGUUGAAUUCUGGCUCUACAUGGGCAAGGUAAAGACCCUUGUCCUCCUUCAGUUGAGAGACAGUCUCUGGGGGCCGACUUACUGGAUUCACAUUUCAACUUUAUUAUUCACCAGCUCUGAGAUUUGGGGAUGUUACUUAAUGUUCUGUGCCUGAUUUCCUCAUGUGUAAAAUGAGAACAAUAUUGUGCCUCCGCAAAGUGUUAUGAGCGUCAAAUGAGUAAAUGAGUACACACACACAUACACACACACAACCAAAUUAGAAGAGACCCUCACCCAUGGUGCUCAUUCAUAUGGUUUUAUGACUUUGGUUAUUAUUUCCCUACCUAUAAAUGGGCGUAAUGACAGCCACUUCUUAGGGUUGUUGUAAGGAUGAGAUGAAAACAUGAAAGUACGGUCCCUGUCUCUGGGCUUGGUGCAUAGUAGGUCCCCAGUGAAUGUUGGUAACACUGUGGGUCCUUUCACUGCAGACUUGUUGCAUAGCAUGAGGCUAAUUGUCAAGAGUCCUGGAUUAUAGACCUGGCUCUGCUACCCAUUAGCCAUGUUCAGGCCCAUUACUGCCCCUCUCUGGCCUCAGAUGUCUUUACUCUAUUAGGAGGUUAGACUGGAUUCAUUCUUCCUGCUCUAAUAUUUCCUGCUUCCCAGAAGGUCAGAACCAUAGAUGACUGCCUCGUAGAGAUUUGCCUUUCACACUAGCCCAACUUUAGAUGUUCGAGGUCAUAGGCAGGAUGUUAUCCUGUGUGUACACUGGUGAAACAAGACAAGGCAGAGGCCCCCUGUACAAUCACUAAACUUUCUUCCAAAGAAGGAGAAUGAGGCUUCCUCGACCCUUUAUGGCCCCUGGACUCAGCAUCAUCACUAUCAUCAUCAUAAUAGUAGUAAAUAUUUAUUAAAUGCUUUACAUGUAUUAAUUUAUUUGACUCUCACAAGAACUUCAUGAGGCAGACACCAUUCUUAUUCCCAUGUUGCAGAUGAAGAAACAGGACACAGUGAAGGUAACCUGGCUUGGGUCACACAGCUGCUAAGUGGAAAUGGGCUUUGUUCACAAUGGUUAGAGUUCCAAAGCUACCUCUUAGUCAUGCGACUUACCUGGCAAACCAUGUAAACUAUCAGGCUGCAGGCUGCAGGACAUCCAGUGGAGAAGUGGGGCAAGCAUCCAGAGAGUCCAGAGGGCAGGCAUGCUACGUGCAUCUAGGUCCCAUCCCACACCUGCUGGAGAUCAUGGACAGAUGGCACAUUCUCUCUGGGAUCACAGCUGCUCCAUCCUGGUUGAGGCAUGGCAGGGUCAAGUGAGAACCUUGCCUUCAGCCAGGCCCGGGGGAGGAAGAAGAGGGACACACCAUUGAAAAGGCACACCUGAUUGUCACCGGUCUCCUUGCUGGCCUUUUCAUGCAGUUGAUGACGUAUGUUGUCGGGGCACAGGAUGAUGGAGGAAGAGGGGCCGUGAGACGUGAGAGAGCCAUGAGGCAGAUUCUCCCCUGGAGCCUCCAGAAAGGAGUAUAGCCCUGCUGCCAUCUUGGUUUUAGCCCAGUGAAGCCUGUGUUGGACUUCUGACCUACAAUACGUAAGAGAAUAAAUUUUUGCUGUUUAAAACCACUAAGUUUGUAGUAACUUGUCACAGCAACAAUAGUAAACUAAUAUACUUGGCAUUACACAGGGGUAGAAGGUAGGAAACUGGUCAGAGAGCUUGAGCUGGGGGAGUGGAGUAUAUAAAGGUGAAUCAGUAUGGGGGCCCUGUCCAAACACAGGAGAAGAGUUAAAUUGGGCAAAAUGGUAAUGAAUAUUUGCUAAAACAGAAGGAAAGUAAAAAUUCUACUAUGAGGGCCCAUUUGGGAAAGUGGAAGAGCCUGGGUUUUGGAAACAAGUGAUCUGGCUUUAAAAUCUGACUCCAUUGCUUCAGCUCUGUGACCUGGGCAAGUUAGUUAAUCUCUCUGAGUCUUAGAUCCCUCAUCCAUAAAAUACCACACAGAGGCCACCAGAUUAAGAUGCCCAUCAUCCCAUUGAUUAUCUCUAAGUUCAGAUAUUAGCUAACUACACAAUCUUUCUGAGUAUUCAUAACCAAAGAGAAGUGCCCAGUGCUAGGAGUACUAUUAAUGGUAACUAAUAUCAUCUCCAAAAGGUAGGUAUCGCCAAGCCUACUACAGUUUUGUUUCUCUGAACUAAGCCAUUGAACACUCUUUAGAAAGAAAUCAUACAAUUAGUGUUAAUGCAGAGCCAUAUAGUAAAAAUUUCAACGUCAGGGAGUGGAAUUUUCAUAGGAACAUAUGCUUGAAACAAGAAUCAGGAUCAGGCCUAAGGAUUGAGAUAUUCUUCGCAGAAAUAUUUUUAGAUACCCCUCUAUCCCUUAUGAAUUUCAAAUUUACUCCUCAAUCAACCAACCAAAUCCCAAAUUAUAUUUUUUUUAAUUUUUACUUUAUGCCCCUUAACAAUCUUGAUGUAUAAGAAUGGAUGCUUCAAAGUCAAUAUUCCCAGCCCAGAACUCAUUAUCUGUCCACCGCUGCCUCCAAAACUGCUCAUCUGUUCUUUUAAUUUCAGUGAGUGGCAUUAUCUUUUGUCCAAUAACCUACUGGAGACCUGGGAGUCACCAAUUUCUGUUGAGACCACCUCCUUAGCAAUCUUUCUACUUAGCCUCUCCUCUUUGUCACUGUGUCUUCAUCAUUUUUCACCUAGAAGAAGAAAUGGUGCUGUAGUUUCUCUUCCUGCCCUAAAUCUUGUCUCCAUCCCUGCUCUAAUCUAGUAUCAACCCACAUUCAAGCAUGACCUUUCUAAAUUAAUGGUUUGAUCAUAUUAUUUUCCUGUUUAAAAUCUUUCAAUGGCUCUUUGCUGACUAUGGGUGUUGUGGAUUGGAUUGUGUCUCUCCCAAACUUAUAUGCUGAAUCUCUAACCCCCAAUGUGACUAUAUUUGGAGAUAGAGAUAUUAGGGGGUAAUUAAGAUUAAAUGAGGUCAUAAGGGUGGUGCCCUGGUCCGAUAGGAUUGGUGGCUUUAUGAGGAGAGACACUAGAGAGCUUUCUCUCUCUGCCGUGUAAGAAUACAGCGAGAAGAUGGCUGUCUGCAAGCCAGGAACUGACCCUGCUCGACCUUGAUUUGGGAUUUAUGGCCUCCAGACCUGUGAGAAAAUAAAUUUCUGUCAUUUAAGCCACCCAGUCUGUGAUAUUUUGUUAUAACAGUCUGAAGAGACUAAUACAAUGAGAUAAAGUCUGAACACAUCAGAAUAGUAUGGAAGGCCUUUUCCUUCUAGUUCCCAUCUGCCUGACAGGUCAUGCACAGAACUUUUCCUUACAUACUCUUAAUGGAGGUUCCUGAUCCACCAUGCUCUUUGGGGCACAUGUCCUUCCCUCUGUUGGGAAUAGCCUGUUUUUUUCUCUUUCAUCCUUCAUUGUUCCCUUUAGCAAAUGCAGUUAAAAUUCCAUUUUGUGUUCUUCUAGUACUUGAGACAAGCCUGUCUCACCACAGUAAAAUGUGUUAUAAUUAUUCCUUAUCCUAUCUACUUCCCCCAAAUGACAAAUUGAGGGAGAGGGGGAGGGGUAUUCUGUCUUAAACAUCUUUGUAAUGUCCAUGGAACACAGCACAGAUCCUGGCACCUUGUAGAUUUUUCAAAAAUGUAUGUUGAAUGGAUGAAUUAACAAAUGAAUUACACAUGAAGCGAGGCCUCCCAUGCUCUUAGGAUAAAUACCAAGGUCCCUCACAUGGCCUGCAUACCUUUCCAGCCUCGUUUAAUUCCAUCUCUGCUAGGUACCAGCCACAGGAGCUGCCUGUCGUUCCACACUGCCUCCUGUCUCAACUCCUUUGUGCAUUUGCUCCCCUCUGCCUGGAAUGUGCCCCCUGCUUUAACCAAUCAUGAAACCAGUGAGCAACUACUUAUCCUUCAACUUGUAGCUAAAUGGCUCCCUAGGGAAUGUUUUCUUGACAUCUUGUCCCCCAAACACAAUUGCUUUCAUUGACCUUUGUUCACAAAGCACCUUACUGUUUUCUUCCUAAUACUUAAUCCAGUGUGCUAUGCCAUGCUUGUUUGAUUAUAGAGUUGAAGUGGGGCCUCCUGAGAGGAGGGAGGUCUCGUCUGCUUGUUCGUGUAUUUUGUUUUCAGCUCUCUCUCCCCAGGACACAGAACAGUGCCGAGCACAGAGCAGACACUCAUAGUAAUACCAUGAGGUGGUAGAUAACUGAGUGCUAAGUAAAUUGCAAAGAUACGAAUCAGACUCUACUUUUUGUUAUUUUUUCUCUAUAUCAUUUCAUUCACUUGAAAUUAUCUUAGAUUAGAACAAAUCAGAUCUUAUAUCUCCGUGGCUUCACCUUUGCAAUCCCUUGGUUUCUGUCCACACUUGAACAAAGGCUAGAGUAUUCAGGCUGCAGAGGAGCAGGUUUUAAGGUGAAGGCUGUCCAUGUGGACCCAAAGCCCCGCAGGACCAAUAGAUGAGGGGGCCUAAGGGGCUCCACUAUCAGGAAGACUUUUGGAGGAGCUAGAACCCAUGCCUUGCCUUGAAGUGUGGGCAGAGUUGGACUGUAGAGAAGGGAAGUAUGAGAGAAGAGCAAUUUUGCAGCCCUGGUAGAUUUUGAACCCACCAUAGCCUGGUGGAUAGCAGUUUUAGUUCUGGAAUCUGACUUCUCAGGUUCAAAUCCUGGCUCCAUUGGCAGUGACCCCAGGCAACCUUAUUAGCUUCUCUGUGCCUCCGUUGUCUUAUCUGCUGAAACAGAGGUUAGGAAUAGUCCCUGCCUGAUAGGAUUGUUAAGAGGAUUCAAUGGGUUAAAUAAUGUAAUGGGUCUAGAACAGCGCCUGGCACAUGGGAUGCUUCCAGGAAACGUUAUUCUAUUCUAGUGUUAGCCACACUUGGUGUUUUUAAUACAUGUAGUGAAACAUUCAUUACUAUAUUACUCCUGACCUCCUCCCUUGGAUGAGUGGAGUAACUCAUGGGAGAGGUUUGAGGGAGAAACUGGCCUUAUGUAGAAGCAUCUCUUCCUCUUAGGGGCCAUCUAGGGGAUGUGUGUUCAACUCAGCUCCUCCAGAAUCAGAUUUGCCCUGGCUCAGAGCUGCGUGGCUGGUGGAUAAUUCUGACCAAUUCUGGGAUUCAGUGUUAGAAGGUCCAAUUGCCUGUGGAUAUAAGCAAAUUCUCUAAUAUCAGCUUAACAGUCAUCAAACUUUGGCCCCAUCUGCCUGCCUCCUUUGUUUUAUUUCUCCAUUGAAUUGGAACUUAGACAAGAAUGAGGACAGCUGUUUAUUGGGUCCUCUGAAAGACCCCCAACAGGAUCACAUUUAAAUUGAAUAGGAAGGCAUGAGACAAUGAAUGGCAGGGGUCUUAGUGUCCCAAGAGCAGAAGGUUCAUGCUGAGAAAUUGGGAGAAUCAAAACAAAAGUCAGUGUCCUUUGGGAUGGUCAUGGGUGUGACUUCCUAAAUUUUAGAGUCCUCAGGCUAAGUUAAUCCCCAGCCUAGCAGCCAGGGGAUGCAAAUGUUGGAACUCAGAAAGUGUCAUGGCAUCUAUUUCUAUUUAUAGAGGACCUGUUAUGAGCUCAGAUCCCCAGCAGUGAUUCAUUUCAACGUGUAUUUGUGUGUGGAACCCAAAGGUGUGGCAUGAAGUACAAAGAUAGCACUCACAAUAGAGUACUCAGAUUAGAGAGGCAGAUACAGUUAGUGAGCUGUAAGACCACACAAACAGAACAGACAUUCUCAGGCCAAGGGACAAUUAUGGGCAGAUAACUGUCAAGCAUUGCAUGGACUAAGCUAUCUAACCCAAUUGUUUAAGAUGACUUGUAAACUAAACUGGGAGUGAACUUACCAGCAAGGACUGGGAGUACGGGCCUUGAAACAAGGAAAGGACAUCACAGGGCAGAUGGUUGUGGCAGGAUGAGGACACAGAAAGGGACCAGCAGAACUUGGUCAAUGCAAAGUGGAAGAGCAAUCCAGAACAGAUGUUCUUCUCUCUGCCACACCUGGCUAAAUAUUUAUAUGAGUGCUGAUCAGAAAUAAAUGUUAGACUGCAUUGCAGGCUUUUGGUAGUUUGAAUAACUUUGCUUAAGUCACUUGUUUAGUGAAAUAGAUUUAUAUGCACUUUACCCCACAAUGUAGUUUUAGGUGAUUCUUAAAUAAACCUAUGUUGUCAUUACAAUAUCUGUGUCAAAGGAUCCACACAGGUAUGUGUGUCUAGAACUGUGUAAGCUGUGUAGACCUUACUUUAUUUCAGUCAGGUAACUGGUAGACAGUGAAGGCAAAAUCAGCUAAGCAGAUCAUGUUUAUGGAUACCUUUUAAAGCUGUCUUAGUUUAUGAGUCCUAUUUCUAAGCAAAUAAAUUAAAGUUCUUAUCAUAGAAGAUGUGUUUAGUCAAAUGUUCAGAUAUCACUGAAAAUAGUAGCAGCAGUGGAGCUGAUGGAGUACUGGAAAGAGACAUAAAUAUAGUUAAUUAGAAUAAAUAAUUCUUCUUAAUUUCCUUCCUUCUAUCCUUCCUUUCUUCCUUCCUCUCCUCCCCCUAUUUCCUUACUUCCUUCCCACCAUGGCAAGACAUUGCAGGUUGGGUUCCCUGGGAAGCUGACACUGAAAAGCAGCUUAACAUGCAGGAUGUUUACUGAAGAGUUCUCUUGGGAUGAACACCUGGGAAAGGAGAGGAAGGAAGAAGGACUGGGCAGGGGGAGAAGCUGAGCUGGGAUGCAAGCCUGACAGCCUCAUCCAACCCCAUGAGGAGCUCUGGAGCUAGAAGGGAUCUUCAGUAUUGUCCUGAUCUAGACCAAGACGGCCAGGAGUUUUUGUAAUUGCACACUGAUCCAUCAUUGGAUGUGGGGUUCCUAGAAGGGUCUAUGAUCUUGAUUGAAGGGGCAUCUCUGCAGUUGAGACAUCCCUGAAGGGACAGAGAGCUGCAGACAUCUGUCCUCAACACUCUCAGGCUGGAACAGCAAUUGAAGGGGCAUCUGGGCAGCAUAUCACACAGUGUCCACCACAUAUGUCCUCUGUAGGAUAUUUGAAGGGGACUAAUCUAACAUUGGUAUCUAAGAAAGGUAUGAAGGAGAAGAAGGAGAAAGUACUGGAAUCAAGGAGGUUAACCAUUGGGCCACUGCAAGAGUCUAGGAAUGAUGUGGUAAGGGUGAGAAUGGAGAAGGAGGGAAAAUCAAGAGAUGGAUGCAAAUCCACUGCAAAUUGGCAAUCAAGAGAACUAAUGUCUCUGCAGAAUGAAUGUAGACAACAAGGUGACCAAAAACUAGACCUUCUACUUGUGUCUUCAGUGCACGCUUGAGUCUAAUUUUCUUGAUGGGAAAGUUUUCCCUGAACCGACACAACCAGCAGGUGCAAUACACGGAAUAUAUUUCCUUUUAAUCCCUUGUUUUCCUCAGUCAGCUCUCAAGGCAGCUUUGUAUAAUUAUAGAAUGGAAGAAUUGAUUUCAAAUUUUGGCUCUGAUGUGUCUUUUAUGUUUGAUCCUGGUCAAGGGUUUUAAGCUUUCUGAACCCAAGCUUCCUUGUUCAUAAAAUGGUAACAAUGCUAUCUACCCUUCUCAAGGUGGUUAAAAGUAUGAAAAGGAGAUAACAUAUAUGUGAAAAGCAUUUAACACAGUGCCUAGGGCAUAGUAGUUCUUAAACAAAAUCAGUUUUCUUCUCAUGAAAACGGAGACUAAAUCGAACAUUCUAGACUGCUUCAUUGGACCAAGUUUUGAAAGACAAUCUUGUGGGAGAAUAGUCUUUGCCCAGCUUUUAUGUGCAGAGCAAUAAUAUAAAAAAAAACUCCUGGUUUUGAAGUGAAAUAAAUGCAUGAAACAUUCAUCUUUCAGCUCAGACCCAGAAUGUUGAAAUCUGCCUGGAGCAAAAUUUCAUGGCUGAGCAACAGCCCCAGAAAAUAACAUUCUAAGUUUAAAGUUCUGCACCAACCUUCACAUUCCAGACUUAUUUAAAGGAACAUUUUAAGUCUACCAUGAAGUGGCAAUUGAGUUGAUGAAGUUUUUGCUGAAGGAGAAAAGAAGUCAGGUAGCAAGAUUUGUAUUGUUUGGUUUUAGUAGCUUCCUAUCUGGUGAAAAUUAGAAAUGAUCUUUAAGAGAGAAUGUAAUAGGAAUGUUUUGGGUGGACCUCAUGCUGCAGCAGUGUCCUGAGGCCCCCACCAUGUGGAGGCCCCCUGAACAUAUAGAUGUUGCACAUAGAGCAGGGGUCCUCUCCUGAGAGAUGUGCAGUCUAGUGGGGAGACCUCCAUGAAAAUGUACCUUUCUCUAAAUACCAAACAGAAAGGGCUUUGGUCUGACCCAGUUGUCCAUUUGACACCCAAAGCAGAAAGUCUGGGGCCUAUGAGUUUUUCAUGGGCUUAAACACAAAUGUCUGAAUCUGAGAAAAGAGCAGCUCCACAGGGCAGAAAGAAAACUUCAAAAUCAGAAAUGAAUAAACGUGAAGUUAAAUGUUUGUAAAAUUUUACUUUAUGACAGCUAGCCAACCAUAACUCAACAUACAGACCUACAUAUAUGCAUUUAUAUAAAAUAUUUACUUGUAUAUACGUGUGUGUGUAUAUAUAUAUAUAUAUAUAAAAUAUAUAUAAUAUAUCU
This 11519-nucleotide long non-coding RNA is filed under the name Equus caballus (horse). RNAcentral's name for it is "lncRNA (ENSECAG00000050342.1)". Lineage: Eukaryota; Metazoa; Chordata; Mammalia; Perissodactyla; Equidae. The record is from RNAcentral.